Molecule: ribosomal RNA, 500 nt
Filed under: uncultured bacterium
Lineage: Bacteria
Description: partial 16S ribosomal RNA
Rfam family: Bacterial small subunit ribosomal RNA
Source: RNAcentral
GACGAACGCUGGCGGCGUGCCUAAUACAUGCAAGUCGAGCGGACUUUCCGGAGUUCUUGCACUCCGGAAGGUUAGACGCGUACGUGUUAGUUACACGUAGGCAACCUACCCAUAAAACCCGGAUAACAUUCGGAACCGAUUGCGCAUACCGCCUAUGCGAGCCACUCACAGGUCGUCAGAGCGCACGGCGGCACAUGCGCCCGCGUCUGAUUAGCUCUGCGGCGCAUUAGCUGGUUGGUGGGGUAACGGCCUACCAAGGCGACGAUGCGUAGCCGACCUGAGAGGAUGAUCGGCCACACUGGGACUGAGACACGGCCCAGACUCCUACGGGAGGCAGCAGUAGGGAAUAUUGCGCAAUGGACGCAAGUCUGACGGAGCAACGCCGCGUGAGUGAAGAAGGUCUUCGGGUCGUAAAGCUCUGUUGCUAGGGAAGAACGGGAAGGGGAGUAACUGCCCUUGUCAUGACGGUACCUGAAGAGAAAGCCCCGGCUAACUACGUG